UUGUAAAACCAUGGCCGCAGUCUGUGCACAAGAGCAAGGAGGCGGUAUGCGUCCCAUAGCAUUCUUUUCCAAAGUAGUUCGAGCUCCGGUACAGGGUAUGCCGGCGUGUCUCAGAGCAUUGAUAGCAUGUGCAAUGGCUGUUGAAACUGCUACUACUAUCACACUAGGGCAUCCUACAAUACUUCAUGCCAGUCACCAGGUCACUCAGCUGACAAAUAUCACCGUACAACACAUGACAGCCCAGCGCUUCAGUGGUUAUGAGAUUUUUUUUUUUUAAUACCCAGAAUCUGUUUUUGGAUUAAACAAGGUUUAGAGAAAGAUCAAAAUGAUCUGUUCUCUAAAGAGGGGAGAAUAGGCAUACUUGAAGAAUAGGCAUACUUGAAGAAAGCUGAUUUAUUUUCAUCAGUCAGGCACAUAGCAAGCACCAUUCAAUUCUUCAUGAAUUCAUUUUAUAUUAGGAAUCUCAGGUAGCAUGUACAGUCUUUUGUAAGAUCGUGUGAACACUGCUCUUUUUACACACUUACAGAUUGAUUUUAUUCAUGUAUCCAAAAUUGGUAAGAAACAGCAAUACUUACUGGUCAUAGUUAAUCAGUUUAGUAGAUGGCAUGAGGCCUUUGUGAUAUCUAGGGAAGAUGCUAGUGAAGUUUAUUGUUACUGAAAUUAUUCCCAGGUAUGGCUGCCCUCUGCAGAUUGGCUCUGAUAAUGGCCCGGUUUUUGCCAGUGGGGUUGCCCAGGAACUUGCUAAAUUCUUGCAAAUUACCUGGCAGUUUCAUAUACCCUAUCAUCCACAGAAUACAGGGGUAGUUGAAAGGAUGAAUAGGACUAUUAAGGAAAAGCCCAGAAUUUACCCAGGAACAUGGGUAAAUUGGACUAGAUAUCUACCAGCUAUUUUAGCUGAGAUAAGAAUGAAUCCCCACAAGGUGACUAAAUUAUCUCCAUUUGAGAUUUUGAUGGGAUGACCUUUUCCCACACCCUGGGCCAGGGAACCGCUUGUUAUAAUGUCUGGGGAUUUACAGCUAAUACAAGAACAAUAUGUACAGGAAUUGUUGAUAAAACUGAAUGGUAUGUAUGACAAUGUUUCUUCGCAGUUUUCCCUUACCUUCACAGGAACCUACUCAUUCAUACCAGCCCGGUGACAAGGUGUAUAUCCGUCAGCUGAACAGGACCAAGAAAGGAGGAUACCCUUUUGGACCACCUGCUACUGUGAUUGCUGUACCCAUAACCGCUGUCCUCACAGAUUCCCAUGACAUCUGGAUUCACGCAUCCCGAGUGAAGCUGUGUCCAAAGAGGGGAACCAAGGAAGACAACACCACUCCUCGCUCGGAA
Pelobates cultripes (western spadefoot toad) is the source of this 1326-nucleotide non-coding RNA. NCBI's taxonomy places the organism in Eukaryota, Metazoa, Chordata, Amphibia, Anura, Pelobatidae. The record is from the annotation of a GenBank genome assembly.